Molecule: ribosomal RNA, 429 nt
Filed under: bacterium
Lineage: Bacteria
Description: partial 16S ribosomal RNA
Rfam family: Bacterial small subunit ribosomal RNA
Source: RNAcentral
UAGGGAAUCUUCGGCAAUGGGGGCAACCCUGACCGAGCAACGCCGCGUGAGUGAAGAAGGUUUUCGGAUCGUAAAGCUCUGUUGUAAGAGAAGAACGUGUGUGAGAGUGGAAAGUUCACACAGUGACGGUAACUUACCAGAAAGGGACGGCUAACUACGUGCCAGCAGCCGCGGUAAUACGUAGGUCCCGAGCGUUGUCCGGAUUUAUUGGGCGUAAAGCGAGCGCAGGCGGUUUAAUAAGUCUGAAGUUAAAGGCAGUGGCUUAACCAUUGUUCGCUUUGGAAACUGUUAAACUUGAGUGCAGAAGGGGAGAGUGGUAUUCCAUGUGUAGCGGUGAAAUGCGUAGAUAUAUGGAGGAACACCGGUGGCGAAAGCGGCUCUCUGGUCUGUAACUGACGCUGAGGCUCGAAAGCGUGGGGAGCAAACAGG